This 253-nucleotide ribosomal RNA is filed under the name uncultured bacterium. Its description in RNAcentral is "partial 16S ribosomal RNA". It matches the Rfam family "Bacterial small subunit ribosomal RNA", at positions 524 to 776 of the family's 1533-position model. The record is from RNAcentral.
UACGUAGGGACCAAGCGUUGUUCGGAUUUACUGGGCGUAAAGGGCGCGUAGGCGGCAAUUCAAGUCAUCUGUGAAAUCUCCGGGCUUAACUCGGAACGGUCAGAUGAUACUGCUUUGCUAGAGUGCGGAAGGGGCAAUCGGAAUUCUUGGUGUAGCGGUGAAAUGCGCAGAUAUCAGGAGGAACACCGGUGGCGAAGGCGGGUCUCUGGGCCGUAACUGACGCUGAGGAGCGAAAGCGUGGGGAGCGAACAGG